Molecule: ribosomal RNA, 386 nt
Filed under: uncultured bacterium
Lineage: Bacteria
Description: partial 16S ribosomal RNA
Rfam family: Bacterial small subunit ribosomal RNA
Source: RNAcentral
CCUACGGGGGGCAGCAGUGAGGAAUAUUGGUCAAUGGGCGGAAGCCUGAACCAGCCAAGUAGCGUGCAGGAUGACGGCCCUACGGGUUGUAAACUGCUUUUAUACGGGAAUAACGCGCCUUACGUGUAGGGCUUUGCAGGUACCGCAUGAAUAAGGACCGGCUAAUUCCGUGUCAGCAGCCGCGGUAAUACGGAAGGUCCGGGCGUUAUCCGGAUUUAUUGGGGUUAAAGGGAGCGUAGGCCGCAUGUCAAGCGUGCCGUGAAAUGUCCGGGCUCAACCCGGGCCUUGCAGCGCGAACUGGCUGGCUGGAGGCCGCGGAAGGCAGGCGGAAUUCGUGGGGUAGCGGUGAAAUGCUUAGAUAUGACGAAGAACCCCGAUUGCGAAGG